AAAUACAGAAGAAGCACCGGCUAACUCCGUGCCAGCAGCCGCGGUAAUACGGAGGGUGCGAGCGUUAAUCGGAAUAACUGGGCGUAAAGGGCACGCAGGCGGUUAUUUAAGUGAGGUGUGAAAGCCCUGGGCUUAACCUGGGAAUUGCAUUUCAGACUGGGUAACUAGAGUACUUUAGGGAGGGGUAGAAUUCCACGUGUAGCGGUGAAAUGCGUAGAGAUGUGGAGGAAUACCGAAGGCGAAGGCAGCCCCUUGGGAAUGUACUGA
RNAcentral lists this ribosomal RNA (267 nucleotides) under Haemophilus influenzae. RNAcentral's name for it is "partial 16S ribosomal RNA". It matches the Rfam family "Bacterial small subunit ribosomal RNA", at positions 477 to 743 of the family's 1533-position model. Lineage: Bacteria; Pseudomonadati; Pseudomonadota; Gammaproteobacteria; Pasteurellales; Pasteurellaceae. The record is from RNAcentral.